AUGGGAUUGCUUUUGCUCAAGGGCCUGGGUGCACUUGGUGGGUGAUGCGAAAAGAUGGGGAAGUCCGAUGUGUGCCUCAAGGGGAUUUGAUUUUAGUACUAUAGUAAGAAUCACUUAGAUCAAGCAAGAAAGAACUGUGAUAAAACUGAGCAAAGUGCAGUAGUGAUGGAACCAGAACUGACUCAAGCAUGCAACGAUCCAACGGUGCACACCAUCCUCCUGCUGCGUCUAAUGUCACCUGCUCGUCACACCGCACUGAAGCCCAAUUCUGCUCUACCGACUGAGAGGACUUUGCACCAUCCCUCCUGCCUAGAAAGACUGGUAUGACAGAUGGAGCCCAGAGUCGGGAACUAAAUGAACUCAACGAACAUUUAAUGAACAUAACCCAUAAACUAAAGGAAUGAUAUCUCUGUGUGUGUAUACAUAUAUACAUAUAUAUAUAUAUAUCUCGUUGUUCAUAUGUCUCAAAGGGAUGGAAAAGGUGAUGAUGAUUGACCGGGAUGUAACUAAAGGUAUGGGAACUGAGCAUGACGUCAAUGGUAUAGAAUAAGAAGGGGUGGAUACUGUCCUAGUUUCAGCUGGGAUAGAGUUAACUGUCUUCCUAGUAGCUGGUACAGUGCUAUGUUUUGAGUUCAGUAUGUGAAGAAUGUUGAUAACACUGAUGUUUUCAGUUGUUGCUCAGUAGUGUUUAGACUAAAGUCAAGGAUUUUUCAGCUUCUCAUGCCCAGCCAGCGAGAAAGCUGGAGGGGCAUAAGAAGUUGGCACAGGACACAGCCA
Long non-coding RNA from Harpia harpyja (harpy eagle), 777 nucleotides. RefSeq lists it as uncharacterized. Lineage: Eukaryota; Metazoa; Chordata; Aves; Accipitriformes; Accipitridae. The transcript is spliced from 2 exons. The record is from RefSeq and is a predicted model, not a curated record.